RNAcentral lists this long non-coding RNA (854 nucleotides) under Homo sapiens (human). RNAcentral's name for it is "HSALNT0405585". Lineage: Eukaryota; Metazoa; Chordata; Mammalia; Primates; Hominidae. The record is from RNAcentral.
GCUGCCAACCCGGAAGGAGCCCGGAGGGGCCCGGGCGGCCAGGGCGCCCCCGCCAGGAGGCCCGCCAGGUGUCCACCUGAGCCCCACGCCCUGCGCCGCGGGGCCCUUUUGGGGGCGGGGUGCCAGCUCCGAGGUGUCCUCCCACGGGCUGUAGACUGGGAAACUGAGGCCCGGGCCACGGUCCCAGACGCAGCCGGGACCCGAACCCACCUCACCUGAGCGAAUGAUAUCCGGGACUCAUCCUUUUUCGACACCUUUGCGGGAUCCAGCCCUCCAAGGAAAGCUUCCUGAGCAGUGCGCGCCACGUGUAUUGGGCACCUCACCGCGGCCACUUCACAUCCUAUCUCAGGUGGAGAAACUAAGCCACAGAAAGGAGCUGUCAUUUACCUAAAGCACCGUGGCAGGGGUUUGGCAGAGCCAGGAUUUGUACCCAGAUCGCCUGACUUCGGAGAGUAACAGCUCUUAACCACAGCACUUCGGUCUAUGCCUUGAUUUCACCAUAUGUAACAAGGCAUCACCAUCUGUUUUCCGCAGCAGCUGUGCCACUUUGCAUUCCCACCAGCAGCACGCAAGCGUUCGAAUUUCUCCGCACGCUCCCCAACAGGACAAGAGCUUGCCGUGUUGCCCCAGGCUGGUCUCAAACUCCUAGCCUCAAGCAAACUUCCUGUCUCGGCCUUUCAAAACCCUGAGAUUACAAGCAUAAGAAAAGAAAAUCUUGUAAGAUGAAAGCUGAAGGAUGAGAGCAAUUAAUUGAUGAAGUAUGAUGAUCCAGGUGUCCCUGGGUGAAGAAACAACCUCUACAAAGGCCCUGAGGGUCUCGCUCAUCACCAGGCUGGAGUACAGUGACAUGAUCA